This 93-nucleotide non-coding RNA is filed under the name Chloropicon mariensis. Lineage: Eukaryota; Viridiplantae; Chlorophyta; Chloropicophyceae; Chloropicales; Chloropicaceae. The record is from RNAcentral.
AACUAAGAAUGACUUCUUCUUGUGUGACGGCUGCCGAAUUAUCACAUUUUUUCGAGCGGCUUGAUCAUGAGCAAGCCAAGCCCAUUGUCAAUC